CCUACGGGGGGCAGCAGUGGGGAAUAUUGCACAAUGGGCGAAAGCCUGAUGCAGCAACGCCGCGUGAAGGAAGAAGGUCUUCGGAUCGUAAACUUCUGUCCUUGGGGAAGAUAAUGACGGUACCCUUGGAGGAAGCCCCGGCUAACUACGUGCCAGCAGCCGCGGUAAUACGUAGGGGGCAAGCGUUAUCCGGAAUUAUUGGGCGUAAAGAGUGCGUAGGUGGUUACUUAAGCGCGGGGUUUAAGGCAAUGGCUCAACCAUUGUUCGCCCUGCGAACUGGGUUACUUGAGUGCAGGAGAGGAAAG
RNAcentral lists this ribosomal RNA (305 nucleotides) under uncultured bacterium. RNAcentral describes it as "bacterial SSU rRNA". It matches the Rfam family "Bacterial small subunit ribosomal RNA", at positions 338 to 661 of the family's 1533-position model. The record is from RNAcentral.